Molecule: long non-coding RNA, 458 nt
Organism: Rattus norvegicus (Norway rat)
Lineage: Eukaryota; Metazoa; Chordata; Mammalia; Rodentia; Muridae
Source: RefSeq, a predicted model, not a curated record
AAAAAUGCUUCCUGGACUUAUGAGGAUAACUGACUUCUUUCCAGGUAACUAUAAAAACCACGUGAACACGGCCCUCAGAGUCUGGAUGCAGAGGCGUGAGGCUGCCUGCGAUCUCAGCAUCUGCUGUUGCUGGCAUCCACUCCCUCUUCGCUCAGCUGGCAGGGACUUGCAGCAUCGAUUGCUCAGGGUGCAGGCAGCAGCCUACAGCAAGGUGUGCCCCUGGUGAGCCACUGCUGAUCUCCUGUAAACAAAGGGCAUCCAAACCCUGCUUUUUGGUUCUCCACGAACCUCGUGCCACAGACAUUCUUCUGGAUCAUGGAACAAUCUUUGAAUUUAAGGAUGCUGCUUUUCCACUUAGAUGCAACAUUAUCAGCUUACCUAGCUUCAUAAUCAUUUCGGACCAACAGGAGAUGCUGCAAGAUAGACAGGAAGUGUGGUUCUGCCUUGGAAUCUUUCAC